This 747-nucleotide ribosomal RNA is filed under the name Triticum aestivum (bread wheat). Its description in RNAcentral is "partial small subunit ribosomal RNA". The record is from RNAcentral. Lineage: Eukaryota; Viridiplantae; Streptophyta; Magnoliopsida; Poales; Poaceae.
AUGAAGACCAAUCCUGAUCCACGUGUCCUAGCUAUAGCAAAGAAAGCUAGGAGGAGUGUUGUGCAGACCCUUUUGAUCAAGAUAAUUUAUGGCAAGGAGGUGUGCGUUAUGACCGGCUCUGGUUUCAUAAUGAAAAACAGAGGUUUCGAUGGCCUUGUGAUGACAAACAACCAUGUGCUCGAGUGGGAAAAAGAAGCCUUCGACAGAUCUCAAGAUAAGGUUCUUGUUAGAAUGGCCUGUGAAAAAGGUGGAGUCGAGCAGCGACGUGGCAAUGUAUUGUUUCAGGACCCGUUCGUUGACAUUGCUGUCAUUCACAUUGGAAAAUACAGUGAGCCACUGCCGCCGGCUCUAAGCUUCACUCCUCGUUCGCGCGAACUGCCAGUUGGGACGAGUGCGAUUGCAAUUGGAUACUGCGAUGCAGAUGAGUUUGCACCGCCAGGUGUGCAAGCGCUUGCCAGGCUUCCAUCUAUCCUGCCUGCCUUGAUUGCUGGUGAUGGAGAAAACCCCAACCCCGUGUCGGCUGGUGAAGAACUUUGGGUUCAGGUUGAUUGUCCGAUAAAGGAUGGCAGCUCAGGAGGACCUGUGUUGGGCGCACAUGGUGUAAUUGGUGUCAUGGCUCAGGGCAACGCACAGAUUACUGCCGCCAUUUGCACAGAAUCGGUACAUCAAGCGGUGAAACGGUGGCUCAAACUUCCAGCCAGGGACACGAGGCCUCUGCAGGAGAUCAUUGACAGAGCACUACUCUGA